Molecule: non-coding RNA, 286 nt
Organism: Mus musculus (house mouse)
Lineage: Eukaryota; Metazoa; Chordata; Mammalia; Rodentia; Muridae
Source: Rfam
GCCGGGCGUGGUGGUGGUGCACGCCUUUAAUCCCAGCACUCGGGAGGCAGAGGCAGGCGGAUUUCUGAGUUUGAGGCCAGCCUGGUCUACAGAGUGAGUUCCAGGACAGCCAGGGCUACACAGAGAAACCCUGUCUCAAAGAAAAAAGAAGAAGGAGGAGGAGGAGGAGGAGAAGGAGGUUUUGUUUUGUUUUUUCUAGACAGGUUUUCUUUGUGGAGCUCUGGCUGUCCUGGAACUCACUUUGUAGACCAGGCUGGCCUUGAACUCAGAAAUCCACCUGCCUCUG